This 253-nucleotide ribosomal RNA is filed under the name uncultured bacterium. Its description in RNAcentral is "partial 16S ribosomal RNA". It matches the Rfam family "Bacterial small subunit ribosomal RNA", at positions 524 to 776 of the family's 1533-position model. The record is from RNAcentral.
UACGGGGGGGGCAAGCGUUGCUCGGAAUUACUGGGCGUAAAGGGCUCGUAGGUGGCCAACUAAGUCAGACGUGAAAUCCCUCGGCUUAACCGGGGAACUGCGUCUGAUACUGGAUGGCUUGAGUUCGGGAGAGGGAUGCGGAAUUCCAGGUGUAGCGGUGAAAUGCGUAGAUAUCUGGAGGAACACCGGUGGCGAAGGCGGCAUCCUGGACCGACACUGACACUGAGGAGCGAAAGCCAGGGGAGCAAACGGG